GCGGGUGUCGUAUAGUGGCUAUUAUAUGUCCUUGCCAAGGAUAAGACGGCGGUUCGAUCCCGCUCACCCGCUCCA
RNAcentral lists this transfer RNA (75 nucleotides) under Candidatus Nealsoniibacteriota bacterium. RNAcentral's name for it is "Candidatus Nealsonbacteria bacterium tRNA-Gly". It matches the Rfam family "tRNA". Rfam says of the family: Transfer RNA (tRNA) molecules are approximately 80 nucleotides in length. Their secondary structure includes four short double-helical elements and three loops (D, anti-codon, and T loops). Lineage: Bacteria; Candidatus Nealsoniibacteriota. The record is from RNAcentral.